Mizuhopecten yessoensis (Yesso scallop) is the source of this 581-nucleotide long non-coding RNA. RefSeq lists it as uncharacterized. Lineage: Eukaryota; Metazoa; Mollusca; Bivalvia; Pectinida; Pectinidae. The transcript is spliced from 3 exons. The record is from RefSeq and is a predicted model, not a curated record.
UGAGCCUUCAGAAGAUGAUACCGAGACCAAGUGUAUAUUUGACCAAUCAAAUGGAAGUGAAGGUAAUCAAUGUCCCUAUGACCUGAAGACUAUAUUCGGAUUCUGGAGAUAUUGGAAUGAGCUGUGCGUAGUCGUCUACCCAAAAUUACAGAAUGUGACGUUUGCCAAAUGUGAAAGAAGGGUUGGUUGCUGCGGAAGUGGAACGAAGUGUGCCCCUGCCGGGUUUGUCAGGAGGCCCUACCUGAUAUACUGUGACAGGUAUUACCCCUAUUGGCACUCUUUAGUUGAGGACCGGACACCGGAUGUUAUCAGAUCAGAUAUUUUCCUCCACUAUGAUGUUGACGAAGACGACAUACCAAGUUAUGAGCUCGAUCACGCGAACACGGAUUUAGGGCUGUUCUUCCUCAGGCAUGACUUGUUACCUCAGGGUUGUAACUGUUUGAUACGAGCGUGCAAGAAAUUCACAUACGGAUUGAAAUAAACCGAUUUAUUCUCAGCAAUGUACUCCCCGCUGUCUGCUUUUGGUGUCAGGGGUUUGCUUAUUUAGGAUCUUAACAUUUUCUUCAAAAUCACCAGUCUAU